Molecule: small RNA, 447 nt
Filed under: Histoplasma ohiense
Lineage: Eukaryota; Fungi; Ascomycota; Eurotiomycetes; Onygenales; Ajellomycetaceae
Description: hypothetical lncRNA
Source: RNAcentral
CCCGCUCAUUCCUGGCUGUUGUGACCUCAUGUAACCCUCAAUGUUCUUCCACUUCAUACUCUGCACUCAUAUAGUUUCUAAUGAUUCUUCUGCAUAGCUCUUAAUGUUCUUCUGCUCUGUGUUCUGUGUUUGUGUAGUCUCUAAUGAUUCUUCUGUAUAGCUUUUUAUGUUCUUCUGCUCUGUGUUUCAUACUUAUAUAGUCUCUAAUGAUUCUUCUGUGUAGCUUUCAAUGAUUCCUUCAUCUCACAUUUCAUACUUGUGUAGCUUCUAAUGAUUCUUAUGUGUAUCUCUUAAUGUUCUUUCACUCUGCACUCCACUGUGGAGUGGCUUCUGAUAUUCUUUCACUCUGAACUUUUCUCUAUAAGAACUCUCUUUGUACAAUCUUUUCUUCUGAUUUCUUUUCUCUUUCUUUUCUUAAUCAAUUUGUAAUCUGUAUUAGAAUAGUGC